Molecule: ribosomal RNA, 253 nt
Filed under: uncultured bacterium
Lineage: Bacteria
Description: partial 16S ribosomal RNA
Rfam family: Bacterial small subunit ribosomal RNA
Source: RNAcentral
UACAGAGGGGGCAAGCGCUAUUCGGAAUUAUUGGGCGUAAAGGGCGCGUAGGCGGCUUUGCAAGUGACGGGUGAAAUCCCUCGGCUUAACCGAGGAACUGCCUGUCAGACUGCAUGGCUUGAGACCGGGAGAGGUGAGUGGAAUUCUCAGUGUAGCGGUGAAAUGCGUAGAUAUUGGGAGGAACACCAGUGGCGAAGGCGGCUCACUGGACCGGUACUGACGCUGAGGCGCGAAAGCCAGGGGAGCAAACGGG